UUAUUGGAGAGUUUGAUCCUGGCUCAGGAUGAACGCUGGCGGCGUGCCUAAUACAUGCAAGUCGAGCGAAUGGAUUGAGAGCUUGCUCUCAAGAAGUUAGCGGCGGACGGGUGAGUAACACGUGGGUAACCUGCCCAUAAGACUGGGAUAACUCCGGGAAACCGGGGCUAAUACCGGAUAACAUUUUGAACUGCAUAGUUCGAAAUUGAAAGGCGGCUUCGGCU
Molecule: ribosomal RNA, 224 nt
Filed under: Bacillus toyonensis
Lineage: Bacteria; Bacillati; Bacillota; Bacilli; Caryophanales; Bacillaceae
Description: partial 16S ribosomal RNA
Rfam family: Bacterial small subunit ribosomal RNA
Source: RNAcentral